RNAcentral lists this ribosomal RNA (462 nucleotides) under uncultured bacterium. Its description in RNAcentral is "partial 16S ribosomal RNA". It matches the Rfam family "Bacterial small subunit ribosomal RNA", at positions 338 to 795 of the family's 1533-position model. The record is from RNAcentral.
CCUACGGGAGGCAGCAGUGAGGAAUAUUGGUCAAUGGGCGCGAGCCUGAACCAGCCAAGUAGCGUGAAGGAUGACUGCCCUACGGGUUGUAAACUUCUUUUAUAAAGGAAUAAAGUGAGGCACGUGUGCCUUUUUGUAUGUACUUUAUGAAUAACGAUCGGCUAACUCCGUGCCAGCAGCCGCGGUACUACGGAGGAUCCGAGAGUUAUCCGGAGUGACUGGGUGUAAAGAGUGGCGUAGGUGGCAUAAUAAGUAGCUAGUGAAAUCUGAUGGCUCAACCAUUCAGACUAUUAGCUAAACUGUUAAGCUCGAGACCGUUAGGGGUAACUGGAAUUUCUAGUGUAGGAGUGAAAUGCGUAGAUAUUAGGAGGAACACCAAUGGCGUAGGCAGGUUACUGGGACGGUUCUGACGCUAAGGCACGAAAGCGUAGGGAGCAAACGGGAUUAGAUACCCCAGUAGUC